RNAcentral lists this ribosomal RNA (1425 nucleotides) under metagenome. RNAcentral's name for it is "bacterial SSU rRNA". It matches the Rfam family "Bacterial small subunit ribosomal RNA". The record is from RNAcentral.
AGAGUUUGAUCCUAGCUCAGGAUUAACGUUGGCGGCAUGCCUAACACAUGCAAGUCGACUGCGUGCUUGCACGCAGGGCGAACGGGUGAGUAACACGUUGGAAACUACCCUUAAGUGAGGGAUAACCCCGAGAAAUCGGGAAUAAUACCGCAUAUGCCUUUCGAGGUAAAGCUUUAUGCGCUUAAGGAUGUGCCUGCGGGCUAUCAGCUUGUUGGUGAGGUAAUGGCUCACCAAGGCUACGACGGCUAGCUGGUCUGAGAGGACGACCAGCCACAGGGGGACUGAGACACGGCCCCCACUCCUACGGGAGGCAGCAGUGAGGAAUUUUGCGUAAUGGACGAAAGUCUGACGCAGCAAUGCCGCGUGGAGGAUGACGGCUUUCGGGUUGUAAACUCCUUUUAUAAGUGAAGAAUUUUGACAGUAACUUAUGAAUAAGUCACGGCUAACUACGUGCCAGCAGCCGCGGUAAUACGUAGGUGGCGAACGUUAUCCGGAAUUAUUGGGCGUAAAGGGUCUGCAGGUGGUUCUAUAAGUUGAGUGUGAAAGCCCACGGCCUAACCGUGGAAUUGUACUCAAAACUAUGGAACUAGAGUGUGUCAGAGGUAAGCGGAAUUUUGGAGUAGGGGUAAAAUCCGUAGAUACCCAAAGGAACACCAAUAGCGAAGGCGGCUUACUGGGACAUUACUGACACUCAGAGACGAAAGCGUGGGUAGCGAACAGGAUUAGAUACCCUGGUAGUCCACGCCCUAAACGAUGAACACUAGGUUUUAGAGGGAAUCGACCCCCUUUGGAACUAUAAGCUAGCGCGUUAAGUGUUCCGCCUGAGUAGUACGAGCGCAAGCUUAAAACUCAAAGGAAUAGACGGGGGCCUACACAAGCGGUGGAGCGUGUGGCUUAAUUCGACGAUAAACGGGUAACCUUACCUGGGUUUGACAUCCUCCGAAUUCUACAGAAACGUAGAAGUGCCUUUUUAAGGAGCGGAGUGACAGGCGCUGCAUGGUUGCCGUCAGCUCGUGUCGUGAGAUGUUCGGUUAAUUCCGCUAACGAGCGCAACCUUUGUCCUGUGUUGUAUUUCUCACAGGAGACUGCCCGGGUAACCGGGAGGAAGGGAGAGAUGACGUCAAAUCAGCAUGGCUCUUAUACCCAGGGCUGCACACGCGCUACAAUGGUCGGUACAACGGGGAUGCAAUGUAGUAAUACGGAGCUAAUCCUAAUAAAACCGAUCUCAGUUCGAAUUGAGGGCUGAAACUCGCCCUCAUGAAGUUGGAAUCGCUAGUAACCGGAAAUCAUCAUGUUCCGGUGAAUAUGUUCCUAGGCCUUGUACUCACCGCCCGUCAUGGCAUGAGAGUUGGGAAUAUCCGAAGUCUCUCCGUUAAGGAGGGCCUAAGGUAGAACCAGCGAUUGGGCUAAAGUCGUAACAAGGUA